GGUUUUGUUUUGUGUCUUUUAUGAAAAAGGUUGACUUUUAAUCCGUUGGUCCCGGGUUCGAGUCCCGGCCAGCCCACCA
Molecule: transfer RNA, 79 nt
Filed under: Oligella urethralis
Lineage: Bacteria; Pseudomonadati; Pseudomonadota; Betaproteobacteria; Burkholderiales; Alcaligenaceae
Description: tRNA-Lys
Source: RNAcentral